Long non-coding RNA from Capsicum annuum, 938 nucleotides. RefSeq lists it as uncharacterized. The transcript has 2 exons. NCBI's taxonomy places the organism in Eukaryota, Viridiplantae, Streptophyta, Magnoliopsida, Solanales, Solanaceae. The record is from RefSeq and is a predicted model, not a curated record.
UCAAGAGUGAGAAAGUUCUUAGUUUUUCAAAAAGUUCUUAGUUUCCAAAGUUUGUAAGUUCUUUCAAAUUUAAUAAAAAAGAGUGUUUAAAAAUUCUAUAUUAGUUUCUUAGUUCUUCAUUUUUGGCAGCUGUCAAGUUUUCAGGGGACUGUCGAAAGGAAAACCUCACUUCUUUCUUAAGACAUAACCACCAGAGCCAAGACCUAGAAUUUCCUUAAUUCCAAGAGAAGACACAAGUUCACCCAGAACAGGAGCAAGACUGGGACUAUCAGACGGAGAUAGUGACGAGUAUGAACGAGACUACAACUCAGCCAUGGAUCAUUUUGCACAAGACCUAAAUGCCGAUGAAGAUUUAGGAAUAGAGUUUGAUUCAGAAGCAUUACACUAUCUGGAUACGUAAGCAAUGACGAUAUCCACGAAAGACAAAAUUACAGACGUAUGCAGUGAUGUAAAAGAUAAAUAAAUAGAUGGAUAAAGUAAAGACACAGCCAUGUGAUCGUGGGCCCCACCGAAGUUUCCAAAAGUCUUGCUAAAUCUUAUCAAAUAUAUUGAUGAAAGGAUUUGAAAUACAUAAAUUAUACUGAAGAAAUGAUUUGAAGUCCACAAAUGCCUAUAAAUACCCCCUUUGGAAGACUUAAACAUAAGUAACUAGAGAGAAAAAAUCAAGAGUGAGAAAAUUCUUGGUUUUUCAUAAAGUUCUUAGUUUCCAAAGUUUGUUAGUUAGUUCAAAUUCAAAAAAAAAGAGUGUGUGUAAAAACUCUAUAUUAGUUUCGUAGUUCUUCAUUUUCGGUAGCUGUCAAGUUUUCAGGGGACUCGCGAAAGGGAAACUUCACUUCUUCCUUAAGACAUGUAAGUAGUCGUUGCAUAGAUAUUUGUAUUUCUUAUCCCAAGUUUGUAAAUUAUGUUUGAAUUAAUCAAGUUCAUAUUUUAUUUUUCAA